CUAGAUCACACCAUGUUCACUUGGCUGAUGCUCUCCUGCCUCUUAGGCUUCUCCCUGGCUGAGGUUCAGGAUUACCAAUAUGUUACACGGGAAACAGCGCCGCUGAAAACAGCUGCAUGAAAGUGGAUGUAGACCGCCUUGCCAUGAAAAUUCACUUCCACAUGCCUGAAUCCGACGACUUCGAUGACGUGGAAACUCUGGAGGAUUAUAGUGUGGGUCUAGCAGCAUCUCGAGUUGUGUCCCAGGAGCGUGUUACGUGAGGCGACUGGUUAAAUCUUUCGAGCAACAAGUAGCCUUCAUCAAAGGCCAUCAGGAUGAUGGCAUGAGGGUUGAGUCUGACGUCAGAGUUUCCGCUGUUCCCUCGACAAUCCUGAGGAGGAGAUCGGCUCGGAUCUUGCCAACUUCUGUGGCGACCUUCCCGUUUACAAACUGGUCACUGAAGAACAGAAUGACAGUGUUCAAGACCGUCGUCAAGUGAGCGUCACCUUCACCCGCUGCAUCCUGCUGUGUUUCAUUCCCAGGUGCUUCACCACCACGCUCACUCUCCCCACUGGCUC
This is a non-coding RNA of Penaeus vannamei (Pacific white shrimp), 557 nucleotides long. Lineage: Eukaryota; Metazoa; Arthropoda; Malacostraca; Decapoda; Penaeidae. The record is from RefSeq and is a predicted model, not a curated record.